UGCCUAUUUACUCUGGUCCAGCUGACUGCGCAAUACAUUGUCAUCAGCUCAGCCAGGCAAUUUUUAAACUUGAUCUCCAAUAUAAAAAACAUCUAGACAUUAUCUCACAUUUCUUUUAGACUAAAAUGUCUACCGACAUUUGCAGCAUUGUUUCAAUAUUCAAAUUUGAUCUCCAGCUGUCCCAUAUGAUAUAAUGAACGUGUCGGGAGUCGAGAUGAGACAGACAGGCUUCUUCUGAUGGAGAGAUGUUUGACAUGAGCUUUGAGGUCCCUCCUGCAUGCUGUAUUCAGUCAGCAUUGGUGGAGGGCUUAUUUCUCAAUGCAUGCUGCUACUGCUCAGAGCUCCAGAUGCACAGACCUAUUAACAUUGUCAUCGUACCGGUUGAAAAUUAGAUGUUAAACAUAUAAACGGUAAGCAGAGGAGAUUGAGGGAAGCAUGCGGUCAUGAGUGGGUGUGCUGUUUGUGUGUGUGAGUGCGUAAGAGAAAGCUGCCAUACAAUUGACACAUAAUGAUUGUGAAUUCUUUGCUGGAGUCAUUUUUAUUUGCCUUGUUGUGCUUUGCCUUGUUGCUUUUCUGACACUGUGAAAAUUGAACCAUUGACUGAGUGGUGAGAUUAUCAGGGUAAAUUGUCAGGCAUAUUAUGAGGCGGAAGCACAAUUCUAUGUUUGUAGAAUGCAUGAAAUAGAGGAAGUGGACUUGCAUGUGUAUUUAUUCAUGCCGUGUGUUGUUGAGAGAUCUUACAGUUAGUUUGAUAAUGGAUAUGGGUAAUAGUGGUGUUAACACUUCUGUAUGUCAAUUAUUUUUUACCUUUGCCCAUUAAGGUUA
This is a long non-coding RNA of Oncorhynchus keta (chum salmon), 825 nucleotides long. RefSeq lists it as uncharacterized. Lineage: Eukaryota; Metazoa; Chordata; Actinopteri; Salmoniformes; Salmonidae. The record is from RefSeq and is a predicted model, not a curated record. The transcript has 3 exons.